Long non-coding RNA from Brassica rapa (field mustard), 2148 nucleotides. RefSeq lists it as uncharacterized. NCBI's taxonomy places the organism in Eukaryota, Viridiplantae, Streptophyta, Magnoliopsida, Brassicales, Brassicaceae. The record is from RefSeq and is a predicted model, not a curated record.
ACUAUAUUAGUAUAUAUUUACAUAACACUUCUGUAGGUCUUAAAGACAUAUCCUAUACUUAUAGAUUUGACUCGAGCCUGAAAUAACCUUGUGUGGUAAAGUUUCGCUUUGAUUCGAUGAUCCAUUUUAUUAAACUUUCUACUGAUUUGUUCAGUGAGUUCUAUCUCCUUUGGAUUGAGUAGGGUUUUUGGUUGACACAUGUUGACAAAUUCAGGGACUGCAAUACCACGCUUGAAAUAAAGGAUCAACAGCCAAGGAACCAAAUUUUACAAAAGAAAGUUCUUGGCGUGGAAGAUUUCAUGUGCAUGUUAAACGAACCGUACGACCUGUCUAUGCUACGGUUUUGCAGCAUAAGAAACCAACCUCAAGUGCUGCAGAUGAUAUAACAGGUGGAUCAAGAUUGACUUCUCAGACUGUUCUGAGGCAAGAAGUACCAACUGCAACCUCCAAAAGUUACACCUUCAAAACAAGUAUGGUCAUUUAGUUUUCAUUUUUUUGUUUUGUCGCUUUUGUUUUACAUUAUAAAAACACUUAACCAACACAUGUGUCACUCGGUAUAUCAAAAAUUUGAUUUCUAAAGUAGGAGAAGCCAGUCCCAACAUGUUGAUUAUAGAUUAUAUUUGACACGUGAAAAGAAGUAAUGCUUCUUAACUUGAAAAUGAAAAAUAUUUAGUUGAGCAUCAUGAUUCAUGAAUAUGAAUUCAGCUCAUUGUUACAUUAGUCCAAGUUCAUGAAUAUGUAACAGAUUCAAGGAAGGGAUACUUCUAUCGUUGGCCUUAACCGUGAAAGAAAGCAAACAUGAUUUUUCCCAAGUCAAAAAGUCACUGAAUAUGAGUUAAAAAUGGAAGAUUUUAUACUUACCAUUUUCAUAAACAAUACCAGAUAAAACAAAGCAGCGAGGUCCUCCGUUUAGUCAUAUACAAGAGGGACUUCUUUUGAUUUGCUCUCGAUUUAUUUUAGUAGAACAAUUAAUCUUCCUCUACCUCACCAACACAUGUGUACCUGAUAUAGUUUAAAAUAAUCUGACAACUACAAUAAUAGUAGAAAUCAAACUAGAUAAUCAAAAUAAAAUAAACAUAUCAAAAUAUUCACACUCCCAAAAUAAAGACAGUCCAUAAGAAUUCAACAUUAUAUUAUGAAAUUUAGUUAACUGCAACGAAAUUAAGGUUGAAUAUCAUAAUAUGAAACAAUUUUAACAGUAAAAACUGAUGAAUAUAAUAACACAAAUCAAAGAAAUAACAAUUAGAAAUAAUAUAUAGUAAAAAAUUCAUAAUAAACAUAAUUGUUUUUAAAAUAACUAAUGUUUCAUAGUGUUUUGUAAUUUGAAAAAUUAUGUGUCUUAGACAUGUUAGUAAUUUCUAAAAUGAAUUUUAAAAUAUAUAGAUAAAAUUGUUGUAAAAUAAUUAUAUACUUCAAUGGUAUUUUUAGGUAAAAGUAAAUUUAGAAUUUAAAAUAAAUUUGUAUUAUUAUUUUAUUUAUUCGCCCCGCCCGUAGGGCGGGUUUAUCCUAGUACUAUUAAUAGAUGAGAAAUUAGGUCUCAUAUACACCAAAAAAACCAUAUUUAAGUAAAUACUCUAAACACUAUUGACAUUUCUAAACCCCUAUAUUGCCCCUGCCCCUACCCAAACUUCUUCCUUCUUCUUCCUUCUCCUUCUCGAAUUUCCCUUAAAUCUCUCACCAAACUUAUUCAUUUUUUUCUUCAUCUUUCCUAGUUCUUUACUCUUCUUUAAAAAUAUUUCAGUAUUUCUUACAAAUGGAUUCUUCUUCUUUUUUCCUAUUUUCACCAUUGUGGAUCCAAUAAAUAGUUUUUUCAUCGAUGAGUUCUUUUAGAAUAAUUUUUUUUGUCAGUUUCUUCGAUGUUUACCACAAUUUUGAAGGUUCCAAGUGAGUCAGUGCAUACCAGAGAGAUCUCUUCAGUGCAUGUGUUGGUAGAAUCACAUGGUACAACCUGAAAUUCUCAUUUAAAUUCUGAGUACUUUAAUCGCUAUAUAACAUAUUUGGUUAUUGUUUGGUUAAGCCUUGUGAGCAGAUACAUGUUUGGAUAAUUGUUACCAACCAGUGGUGCCGUAUAAUUUAAAUUGUUUGGUAAAUAUGUGUGGUUUGAUAUAUGAUAUAUAAAUUUGUACAUAAUAUAUUUUCAUUAGCUGA